UACGAAGGGGGCGAGCGUUGUUCGGAUUUACUGGGCGUAAAGGGCUCGUAGGCGGCCAACUAAGUCGGACGUGAAAUCCCUCGGCUUAACCGGGGAACUGCGUCCGAUACUGGAUGGCUUGAGUUCGGGAGAGGGAUGCGGAAUUCCAGGUGUAGCGGUGAAAUGCGUAGAUAUCUGGAGGAACACCGGUGGCGAAGGCGGCAUCCUGGACCGACACUGACGCUGAGGAGCGAAAGCCAGGGGAGCAAACGGG
RNAcentral lists this ribosomal RNA (253 nucleotides) under uncultured bacterium. RNAcentral describes it as "partial 16S ribosomal RNA". It matches the Rfam family "Bacterial small subunit ribosomal RNA", at positions 524 to 776 of the family's 1533-position model. The record is from RNAcentral.